UUUUAUAGUUUUCUUAUUUAAUUAAAGAAUAUUAGUUAGUUGUUUAAUAUUUGUGUGGGCCGUUUUUGUUAUUUAAUUUUGUUAAUUAAAGAAUCAAAGAUGAAUAAAUAUGAAACUUCUUGCACACACCAAACACUUGUUAUUUAAUUGUUAAGAAGUUUUUUUUUUUUUUUUUUUUGUGCAGUGUUAUUUAUUUUUGUUUCACUUUUUGUUCAUAAUAUUUAUGAGUUACAUAAUCAAAUUAUAUAAUUGCAUAACAUAUUAUUUUGUUUCAUAAUUAUAUCUUCACUGUUGCACGUUUACUUUUUUGUGUUGCAUUCUCUUUUACUUUGUUGCAUAAUUAAUUAUUCAAUCAUUUUUAUUUAUAUAUGAUUUUAAGUUGCACAGUAAAUUAAUAUCAGUUUCUUUAUUAAUCGUGUG
This 420-nucleotide long non-coding RNA is filed under the name Salvia miltiorrhiza (redroot sage). RNAcentral's name for it is "long non-coding RNA (SMIL_LNC003464)". The record is from RNAcentral. Lineage: Eukaryota; Viridiplantae; Streptophyta; Magnoliopsida; Lamiales; Lamiaceae.